CUGCCUGUAAGACUGGGAUAACUCCGGGAAACCGGGGCUAAUACCGGAUGCUUGUUUGAACCGCAUGGUUCAAACAUAAAAGGUGGCUUCGGCUACCACUUACAGAUGGACCCGCGGCGCAUUAGCUAGUUGGUGAGGUAAUGGCUCACCAAGGCAACGAUGCGUAGCCGACCUGAGAGGGUGAUCGGCCACACUGGGACUGAGACACGGCCCAUACUCCUACGGGAGGCAGCAGU
This 236-nucleotide ribosomal RNA is filed under the name Bacillus sp. Sb4-14. RNAcentral describes it as "partial 16S ribosomal RNA". It matches the Rfam family "Bacterial small subunit ribosomal RNA", at positions 126 to 355 of the family's 1533-position model. Lineage: Bacteria; Bacillati; Bacillota; Bacilli; Caryophanales; Bacillaceae. The record is from RNAcentral.